Molecule: ribosomal RNA, 326 nt
Filed under: uncultured bacterium
Lineage: Bacteria
Description: bacterial SSU rRNA
Rfam family: Bacterial small subunit ribosomal RNA
Source: RNAcentral
AAUGAACGUUGGCGGCAUGGAUUAGGCAUGCAAGUCGCGCGAUAAGAUUCCUUCGGGAAUCCGAAAGCGGCGAAAGGGAGAGUAACGCGUAGAUGAUCUACCCCGAGGACUGGGAUAGCGGCGGGAAACUGCCGGUAAUACCAGAUGAUGUCUCCGGACCAAAGGUGUGAUUCCGCCUUGGGAUGAAUCUGCGUCCUAUUAGCUAGUUGGUGAGGUAACGGCUCACCAAGGCGAAGAUGGGUACCGGGUGUGAGAGCAUGACCGGCUCACUGGGACGUGAGACACUGCCACGACACCUACGGUGGGCUGCAGUCGAGAAUCUUCGG